This 2090-nucleotide long non-coding RNA is filed under the name Marmota monax (woodchuck). Lineage: Eukaryota; Metazoa; Chordata; Mammalia; Rodentia; Sciuridae. The record is from RNAcentral.
GGGGAGGGGGGAUAGUAGAGGAUAGGAAAGGCAGCAGAAUACAACAGACACUAGUAUGGCAAUAUGUAAAUCAAUGGAUGUGUAACUGAUGUGAUUCUGCAAUCUGUAUAUGGGGUAAAAAUGGGAGCUCAUAACCCACUUGAAUCAAAUUGUGAAAUAUGAUAUAUCAAGAACUAUGUAAUGUUUUGAACAGCCAACAAUAAAAAAAUUUAAAAAAAAAAAAUAAUAAUACUAGUGAAAGAAAUCUAAAAUUCAGUGCAAUACUCAUCAAAAUACUAAUGAUAUGCUACACAGUACUAGAAAUAAUCCUAAAACUCAUAUGAAAGUACAAAAUUACUCAAUGGCCAAAGAAAUUCUGAACAAAUAGAGCAAUGCUUCAGACAUCACAAUGCCUAAUUUCAAAAUAUACUAUAGAUCGAUGGUAAAAACCAAUACAUACACCAGAGGAAUUAAACAAUACCAUAUUUCACCAUUGCAGAUUUUAUGACAAUUUUUUUUGCAAAAAAAAAAAAAAUGGGGUGCAACCAUUAUGUGAAACUUUUUAAAAAAAUAUACCAGUAUUACUUAAACAUAUUACUAAACUUUCUUUGGUGUAAGAUUCAAAUGCAAAGAACACUCAUGAAUAUAUGUUAAUGUGUUGUUGACAAUUAUGCAGUGACUGGUAAACUCUUAUCUACAGCCAAGUGAUUCUCAACAAAGGUACAAAAAAUACUUAUUGAAGAAAAGAUAAGCCUUUCAACAAAAGGUGCUGGAGAAGAGAUCAUUCACAUGUAAAAGAUUGUAAGGAGACCCAUCUCUCUCACCCUGUACAAAAAUAAGCUCAAAGAGAUGGAAUACCUUAAUGUAAGUCCUGAAACUUUGAAACUACAAGAAAACACCAGGGAAGUGCUUCAAGGUAUUGUCACGGGUCAGGUACAGUGGCAUACAUCUAUAAUCCCAGCAGCCUGGUAGGCUGAGACAGGAGGAUUACAAAUUCAAGGCUAGCCUCAGCAAUUUAGCAGAUCCUAUCUCAAAAUGAAAAAUAAAAUGGGCUGGAGAUGUAGCUCAGAGAUUAAGUGCCCCAGGUUCAAUCUGGACUAGAUAGAUAGAUAGAUAGACAGAUGAUAGAUAAAUAGGCAGAAGGAACAAUUUCCUGAACAGGACUCCAAUAGCUCAGGAACUAGAAAUAUUGACAAACGGGAUUACAACAAAUUAAAAAGCUUCUGCACAACAAAAGAAACAGAGUGAAGAAACAACCCAUUAAAUGAGAGAGAAUAUUUGCCAACUAUUUAUCUGACAUAGAAUUAAUAUCGAGAAUAUAAAAGAAAAAAAAACUUCACAAAAGAACAAGUAACCCAAUCAACAAAUGCACAAAUGACAUGAACAGACACAUCUCAAUGGCCAAUAAGUCUACAAAAAAGUCCUCAAUACCUUUUGUCAUCAGGAAAACAUAAAACUGCACUGAGAUUCCAUUUUAUUCCAGUUAGAAUGGCUUUUACACACACACACACACACACACACACCACAUCUGACAAAGAUGUGGAGAAAAAAGAAAACUAAAUAUAUUGUUGGUGGGAAUAUAAAUUGGUACAUCCAUUACAGAAAACAGUACAGAGGUUCCUCAAAAAACUAAAACUUGCUUUAUAAGAUGAUCCAGAUAAGUGCAUUCCUGGGUACUCAUCUGAAGGAAAUGAAUUCAGCCUAUAAAAGACAUACCUGCAUACUCGUGUUUACUGCAGCAGUAUUCAUGAUAGCCAAGGUGCCCAUCAAUAGACACUUUGGCUUGAAAAGAAAAUGUGGUACAUAUAUACAAAGAACAUUAUUUAGCCAUAAAUAAGGGAACCAUGUCAUUUGCAUGAAAAUGAAUGGAAAUGCAGGACAUCCUGUUUAGGGAAAUCAGGCAGACACAGAAAGAUGAGCAUCACACAUUUUCUCACAUAUGGAAACUUAGACCAGGGAGUAGAAGAUGACUAUUAGAGAAAGGGAGAAGGAUCAGAUGGGUGAAGACUGAAAGAAGGAAGGGCAAGACAGAGUAAAAGGAAGUAAAAGUUUUAUAAAAGGAAGGGUAGACAUACUCAAAGAUGAUAAAUUUAUAUAUGGUGAUGUCAUAG